AUACGAAGGGGGCUUGCGUUACUCGGAAUCACUGGGCGUAAAGCGUCCGUAGGCGGUCGGGUAAGUCGGGUGUGAAAGCCCCGGGCUCAACCUGGGAAGUGCACCCGAUACUGCUCGACUCGAGUACGGGAGAGGAUGGCGGAAUUCCCGGUGUAGCGGUGAAAUGCGUAGAGAUCGGGAGGAACACCAGUGGCGAAGGCGGCCAUCUGGCCCGCAACUGACGCUGAGGGACGAAAGCGUGGGGAGCAAACAGGAUUAGAAACCCUAGUAGUCC
This 274-nucleotide ribosomal RNA is filed under the name uncultured bacterium. Its description in RNAcentral is "partial 16S ribosomal RNA". It matches the Rfam family "Bacterial small subunit ribosomal RNA", at positions 523 to 796 of the family's 1533-position model. The record is from RNAcentral.